Fukomys damarensis (Damara mole-rat) is the source of this 445-nucleotide long non-coding RNA. RefSeq lists it as uncharacterized. Lineage: Eukaryota; Metazoa; Chordata; Mammalia; Rodentia; Bathyergidae. The record is from RefSeq and is a predicted model, not a curated record. The transcript is spliced from 4 exons.
AAGGCUGAGAGCUGCUGAGCUGGGGCGCUAAGGGAGCGCCCACCUGAGGCGGUCCAACUGCUGUGACCCCACUACCGGGCGUCCUUCUCUUGCACAGUUCCCAGGGAAGCCGGGGGAGAGGAGAGCAGUGCCCUAGCCCGAGGAGCCUGGCUGCAUGCUGAAAGCUGACUGCUAAGGAAUAAGAUAUGGCAAAAACCUAUCUAUUCCAAGACACGUAAACAAAAUAUUACAGUUUGGUGCACGGCAGAAGAAAACUACUCACCUCAUAGCAGCCAUGAAGCAAAGAAAGCAGGAAGAGAAGCAGAGAUGAAGACAGCAAAGACCAGAUGGAGUUGGCAAAGUCACAUCUCCAUGAUCCAUUUCCUUCGGUCACGAGGUGAUAGUUUUGCUGCAUCAUGUACUCUCCACCACAAUGUGCUGUUUUCCCAUAAGACCGUGAGUAAUG